UCGUCAGUGAGGUAUAUCCUUACCUGUUACUCCAGCAAUGGAGUAUCAGAGCAUGAUGAAUGGAGUGCUAUGAGAUAUGAUUAGUAUCUCCACUCUUGGUGGGCGACACCAUCCAUCAAGAGCCAUUCUGAA
Molecule: small nucleolar RNA, 132 nt
Organism: Phyllopteryx taeniolatus (common seadragon)
Lineage: Eukaryota; Metazoa; Chordata; Actinopteri; Syngnathiformes; Syngnathidae
Product: U8 small nucleolar RNA
Exons: 1
Source: RefSeq, a predicted model, not a curated record